Molecule: ribosomal RNA, 446 nt
Filed under: uncultured bacterium
Lineage: Bacteria
Description: SSU rRNA
Rfam family: Bacterial small subunit ribosomal RNA
Source: RNAcentral
AGAGCGAACGCUGGCGGCAGGCUUAACACAUGCAAGUCGAACGGAUCCUUCGGGAUUAGUGGCGGACGGGUGAGUAACACGUGGGAACGUGCCUUUAGGUUCGGAACAACACAGGGAAACUUGGAUUAAUACCGGAUACGGCUGAGAGGCGAAAGAUUUAUCGCCGGAGGAUUGGCCCGCGUUCGAUUAGCUUGUUGGUGAGGUAACGGCUCACCAAGGCGAUGAUCGAUAGCUGGUCUGAGAGGAUGAUCAGCCACAUUGGGACUGAGACACGGCCCAAACUCCUACGGGAGGCAGCAGUGGGGAAUAUUGGACAAUGGGCGCAAGCCUGAUCCAGCCAUGCCGCGUGAGUGAUGACGGCCUUAGGGUUGUAAAGCUCUUUCGCUCGGGACGAUAAUGACGGUACCGAGAUAAGAAGCCCCGGCUAACUUCGCGCUAGCAGCCGC